UUUUUCUUUUUGGCUGUGCUGUGCAACACGUGAGAUCUUAGUUCCCUCACCAGGGAUCGAACCCAUGCUCCUGCAGUGGAAGCAUGGAGUCUUAACCACUGGACCACCGGUCCCUGGGCAUCUGCAGUGCAAUCCCAACUUUCUCUGUAUAUUAGUAGAUUUGCCAAGUUCUACUAAUUCUACCAAGACCCGGCUACAUCCCUGGGUGAGGAUGGACAACAUUCAUGAUAGUGACUUAGCAUCCCACCAGGGAAGCGUCCAGUAAGUGACCAUGUUUUAUACGAUCCCUGGAUCGUAUAGAAUCCCUGGAUCAAAUGUGCUCUCAGUGUGACCCUCACACCAUGUAGCAGCUAAUCCUUCACCUCAAAGUUCGUCAGAGAAAAUAAACUGGAGGUUGUGGUUCUGACUUCUUAGGGAUGACCACUAAGUUGUUCAAAAAGCAAGUGAUUCCAGCAGAGGUGAGCAAAUGGCCUAUUCAGUUUUUCACUACAAUGCAGGAUAAGAAUGAUCAGAACUGAAGGCACCUUACAUCUCAUACACUGCAGCCAUAUCUCACCCCUGGCUCUUUCCACCACAUCCCAGACCAUUGUUGGCUCCGCUGCGUAGAAAGUAGUUUGUAGGGAAUUCAGAAGAUACAGAGAGCAGAUCCGUCCAGUGAGAAACGUGUCGCCAAAAACAAAGACCAUCAAAACUGCAAAGAGAAUGUAUCUGCUACCCAGACUGGAAUCUCUCUGACGGAUCCCUCGAAGCUGUCUACACAGGGGGAAAGGAGCUUUCUCUGCAUGGAGGAGAAUUCCUCACGGUUGCCACCUCUCCAGGGCUGCUGCUCACAGGGACUCUGGCUGGAAGGUUGAGAGAGGAUGGUCCUGUGGGAUCUAGAGACGGAAAACUGGAUUCAAGCUUUCGUGGGUGUCCCCGCAUGCCUGAGCUGUGGUUUCCUGAUGGGCAACUAGGACGCCUUCCGAGAUACUGUAACUGCCACUGGAGAGGAAAAGCUAACUGCAUGGUGACCAGACUGCAGCCAUGACAUAAGCUACUCCAUCUUGAGCAGUACUGAGUCUGUGGCUAUAGCACAAUUCCAGGAACUGGUCUCAAGAGAAUGGGAUUAACAUGAUUGCUCAUAGUAAUCUAUAUUUUUGUGGGCAUCAAACUAAUUGUAGCUUGCUCUGCCCGUGUCUGUAAGCGGGCAACCAAAAUUGUCAGCCCAGAGAUGCUACAGACCCAUGUUGACAUCUUCCGCUCUGAGAAUACGGCAUCCUAUUCAGCAUGAAGAAGUGACAGAAGAUGGACUUUUGCCCAUCAGUUACAGAAGGCGGACUUUUGCCCAUAACCCUUUAGAGCUGGAGUGAUGUCUGACAAGUGGGGAUUUGUUAAGCAGCUCUUUUGCCCCUUUCCUGUGUCCCCUUUUCUGUUCCUCUCUAACCUUACAAAGAACCUAAUUAUAGGAAUGAGAUCACUAAGCAAUUGAAACUAACUCCUGACAUGUGCUCUCCUCAAUGCCCACCAUGCCGUGUCUGACCUGUUGAUUCUUUCCCUAGAUAAAAAUAAGUAAGGAUGAAGAAGUAAGCAGUUAAAGGGUGACCAGCUCUCUGCCCCAACAGACCCUCGGCAAUCCUGCAGACCACUUGGGCAAGAUGACAUCUGGGGCUUCCCUGGUGGCAUAGUGGUUGAGAGUCCGCCUGCCGAUGCGGGGGACACGGGUUCGUGCCUCGGUCCGGGAAGAUCCCACGUGCCGCGGAGCGGCUGGGCCCAUGAGCCAUGGUUGCUGAGCCUGCGCAUCCGGAGCCUGUGCUCCGCAACGGGAGAGGCCACAACAGUGAGAGGCCCGCGUACCGCAAAAAAAAAAAAAGAUGACCUCUGAAGAGUCAUCCAGUCUGCACGCAAUGGAGAAGGAUGCAGAACCCAACCUCCUGACUCCAUAAUUCACUGAGAUUUCGCCCCUUCCCCCACCCCGGUUUUUUUUCCAUUUAAAACUGCCAUGGCUGAGCAGAGUCUCUGGAAUUGGUCUCUGGACACGAGUCCACCUUCUCCCCAGAUGGCUGGCUUUUCUGAUUAAAGCACCUUUCCUUUCUACUGGCAAUUGCCUCUCGAAUUACCGGCUUAGGAGCCGCCAGCAGCCGAAUGUGGGUUCCAUAACACAACUUCCUAAGUGCGUGUGAAAUAUUCAUGAAAUUUAAUCAUAUGUUUGUUCACAAGGAAAGCAUUGUGUUCCAUAUGGUAGACAUGUGACAAUCACUCUAUGGUCAAAUGUAAAAAAAGCUAGAAAAUAAUGACAACGUU
Long non-coding RNA from Lagenorhynchus albirostris (white-beaked dolphin), 2280 nucleotides. RefSeq lists it as uncharacterized. The transcript has 4 exons. Lineage: Eukaryota; Metazoa; Chordata; Mammalia; Artiodactyla; Delphinidae. The record is from RefSeq and is a predicted model, not a curated record.